GCGUGCUAUACAUGCAGUCGAGCGGACCGACGGGAGCUUGCUCCCUUAGGUCAGCGGCGGACGGGUGAGUAACACGUGGGUAACCUGCCUGUAAGACUGGGAUAACUCCGGGAAACCGGGGCUAAUACCGGAUGCUUGAUUGAACCGCAUGGUUCAAUCAUAAAAGGUGGCUUUUAGCUACCACUUGCAGAUGGACCCGCGGCGCAUUAGCUAGUUGGUGAGGUAACGGCUCACCAAGGCGACGAUGCGUAGCCGACCUGAGAGGGUGAUCGGCCACACUGGGACUGAGACACGGCCCAGACUCCUACGGGAGGCAGCAGUAGGGAAUCUUCCGCAAUGGACGAAAGUCUGACGGAGCAACGCCGCGUGAGUGAUGAAGGUUUUCGGAUCGUAAAACUCUGUUGUUAGGGAAGAACAAGUACCGUUCGAAUAGGGCGGCACCUUGACGGUACCUAACCAGAAAGCCACGGCUAACUACGUGCCAGCAGCCGCGGUAAUACGUAGGUGGCAAGCGUUGUCCGGAAUUAUUGGGCGUAAAGCGCGCGCAGGCGGUUUCUUAAGUCUGAUGUGAAAGCCCCCGGCUCAACCGGGGAGGGUCAUUGGAAACUGGGGAACUUGAGUGCAGAAGAGGAGAGUGGAAUUCCACGUGUAGCGGUGAAAUGCGUAGAGAUGUGGAGGAACACCAGUGGCGAAGGCGACUCUCUGGUCUGUAACUGACGCUGAGGCGCGAAAGCGUGGGGAGCGAACAGGAUUAGAUACCCUGGUAGUCCACGCCGUAACGAUGAGUGCUAAGUGUUAGAGGGUUUCCGCCCUUUAGUGCUGCAGCAAACGCAUUAAGCACUCCGCCUGGGGGAGUACGGUCGCAAGACUGAAACUC
Molecule: ribosomal RNA, 877 nt
Filed under: Bacillus subtilis
Lineage: Bacteria; Bacillati; Bacillota; Bacilli; Caryophanales; Bacillaceae
Description: bacterial SSU rRNA
Rfam family: Bacterial small subunit ribosomal RNA
Source: RNAcentral